CAGCAGUGGGGAAUAUUGCACAAUGGGGGAAACCCUGAUGCAGCCAUGCCGCGUGUGUGAAGAAGGACCUUCGGGUUGUAAAGCACUUUCAGUAGGGAGGAAGGUAGUGUAGUUAACACCUGCAUUAUUUGACGUUACCUACAGAAGAAGCACCGGCUAACUCCGUGCCAGCAGCCGCGGUAAUACGGAGGGUGCGAGCGUUAAUCGGAAUUACUGGGCGUAAAGCGCAUGCAGGCGGCCUGUUAAGUCAGAUGUGAAAGCCCGGGGCUUAACCUCGGAAUUGCAUUUGAAACUGGCAGGCUAGAGUCUUGUAGAGGGGGGUAGGAAUUUCAGGUGUAGCGGUGAAAUGCGUAGAGAUCUGAAGGAAUACCAGUGGCGAAGGCGGCCCCCUGGACAAAGACUGACGCUCAGAUGCGAAAGCGUGGGGAGCAAACAGGAUUAGAUACCCUGGUAG
This 454-nucleotide ribosomal RNA is filed under the name uncultured bacterium. RNAcentral describes it as "bacterial SSU rRNA". It matches the Rfam family "Bacterial small subunit ribosomal RNA", at positions 349 to 793 of the family's 1533-position model. The record is from RNAcentral.